GACGAACGCUGGCGGCGUGCUUAACACAUGCAAGUCGAACGGAAAGGCCCUGCUUGCAGGGUACUCGAGUGGCGAACGGGUGAGUAACACGUGGGUGAUCUGCCCUGCACUUCGGGAUAAGCCUGGUAAACUGGGUCUAAUACCGGAUAGGAGCCAUUUUUAGUGUGAUGGUUGGAAAGUUUUUUCGGUGUAGGAUGAGCUCGCGGCCUAUCAGCUUGUUGGUGGGGUAAUGGCCUACCAAGGCGGCGACGGGUAGCCGGCCUGAGAGGGUGGACGGCCAACUUGGGACUGAGAUACGGCCCAGACUCCUACGGGAGGCAGCAGUGGGGAAUAUUGCACCAUGGGCGCAAGCCUGAUGCAGCGACGCCGCGUGGGGGAUGACGGCCUUCGGGUUGUAAACUCCUUUCGCUAGGGACGAAGCUUUUUGUGACGGUACCUAGAUAAGAAGCACCGGCUAACUACGUG
RNAcentral lists this ribosomal RNA (465 nucleotides) under uncultured bacterium. RNAcentral's name for it is "partial 16S ribosomal RNA". It matches the Rfam family "Bacterial small subunit ribosomal RNA", at positions 28 to 507 of the family's 1533-position model. The record is from RNAcentral.